GUACUACUCUCAGAGUUUGAUCCUGGCUCAGGACGAACGCUGGCGGCGUGCUUAACACAUGCAAGUCGAACGGGAAUCGGUGGAAAGAGGUUUCGGCCAAUGGAAAUCGAGGAUAGUGGCGGACGGGUGAGUAACGCGUGAGCAACCUACCUUUCAGAGGGGGACAACAGCUGGAAACGGCUGCUAAUACCGCAUGAUAUACUGAUGGGGCAUCCUGUUGGUAUCAAAGAUUUAUCGCUGGAAGAUGGGCUCGCGUCUGAUUAGGUAGUUGGUGGGGUAACGGCUCACCAAGCCGACGAUCAGUAGCCGGACUGAGAGGUUGACCGGCCACAUUGGGACUGAGAUACGGCCCAG
RNAcentral lists this ribosomal RNA (354 nucleotides) under uncultured bacterium. RNAcentral describes it as "bacterial SSU rRNA". It matches the Rfam family "Bacterial small subunit ribosomal RNA", at positions 1 to 334 of the family's 1533-position model. The record is from RNAcentral.